Molecule: ribosomal RNA, 254 nt
Filed under: uncultured bacterium
Lineage: Bacteria
Description: partial 16S ribosomal RNA
Rfam family: Bacterial small subunit ribosomal RNA
Source: RNAcentral
UACGUAGGGGGCUAGCGUUGUCCGGAUUUAUUGGGCGUAAAGAGCUCGUAGGCGGCUUGUCGCGUCAACUGUGAAAACCCGUGGCUCAACCAUGUGGUCUGCAGUCGAUACGGGCAGGCUAGAAUUCGGUAGGGGAGACUGGAAUUCCUGGUGUAGCGGUGAAAUGCGCAGAUAUCAGGAGGAACACCGGUGGCGAAGGCGGGUCUCUGGGCCGAUAUUGACGCUGAGGAGCGAAAGCGUGGGGAGCGAACAGG